AGUGAACGCUGGCGGUAGGCCUAACACAUGCAAGUCGAACGGCAGCACAGUAAGAGCUUGCUCUUACGGGUGGCGAGUGGCGGACGGGUGAGGAAUACAUCGGAAUCUACUUUUUCGUGGGGGAUAACGUAGGGAAACUUACGCUAAUACCGCAUACGACCUACGGGUGAAAGCAGGGGAUCUUCGGACCUUGCGCGAAUGAAUGAGCCGAUGUCGGAUUAGCUAGUUGGCGGGGUAAAGGCCCACCAAGGCGACGAUCCGUAGCUGGUCUGAGAGGAUGGUCGCCCACACUGGAACGGAAACACGGUCCAGACUCCUACGGGAGGCAGCAGUGGGGAAUAUUGGACAAUGGGCGCAAGCCUGAUCCAGCCAUACCGCGUGGGUGAAGAAGGCCUUCGGGUUGUAAAGCCCUUUUGUUGGGAAAGAAAAGCAGCAGGUUAAUACCCCGCUGUUCUGACGGUACCCAAAGAAUAAGCACCGGCUAACUUCGUG
RNAcentral lists this ribosomal RNA (492 nucleotides) under uncultured bacterium. RNAcentral describes it as "partial 16S ribosomal RNA". It matches the Rfam family "Bacterial small subunit ribosomal RNA", at positions 29 to 507 of the family's 1533-position model. The record is from RNAcentral.